This is a non-coding RNA of Wilcoxina mikolae CBS 423.85, 97 nucleotides long. The record is from the annotation of a GenBank genome assembly. NCBI's taxonomy places the organism in Eukaryota, Fungi, Ascomycota, Pezizomycetes, Pezizales, Pyronemataceae.
UCCGUUAUGGUGUAGUGGCUAGCAUCGGCCGCUCUCAUUCAUUCAUUCCCAGAGCAUUAAAACCGGCCAGACCGGGGUUCGAUUCCCCGUAACGGAA